GUAGUAGUUAAGUUCUUGAAACCUAAAGGAUUUGGCGGUAUUUUAGUCUUUUCAGAGGAACCUGUCCCUUAAUCGAUGACCCACGAUUUUAAUUACUUAUCUUUGUAUUCAGUUUGUAUAUCUCCGUCAUAAGGAUAUCUUUUUAGAGGUAAUUUCCUUAAUUAUUAAAUAUAAAUAUGUCAGGUCAAGGUGCAGCUUAUAGAUAAGAGGUGAUGGGUUACAAUAAUUUUAUUUAUAUGAAUAUAUAUACUUGUGGUGUAUUGAAGGUGAAUUUGAAAGUAAAUUUAUUUAUUAAUUAUUUUGACUUUAGCUCUAAAAUAUGCACACAUCGCCCG
RNAcentral lists this ribosomal RNA (335 nucleotides) under Rhipidolestes aculeatus. Its description in RNAcentral is "partial 12S ribosomal RNA". Lineage: Eukaryota; Metazoa; Arthropoda; Insecta; Odonata; Megapodagrionidae. The record is from RNAcentral.